This 497-nucleotide ribosomal RNA is filed under the name uncultured bacterium. RNAcentral describes it as "partial 16S ribosomal RNA". It matches the Rfam family "Bacterial small subunit ribosomal RNA", at positions 28 to 507 of the family's 1533-position model. The record is from RNAcentral.
GAUGAACGCUGGCGGCGUGCCUAAUACAUGCAAGUCGAGCGAACGGACGAGAAGCUUGCUUCUCUGAUGUUAGCGGCGGACGGGUGAGUAACACGUGGAUAACCUACCUAUAAGACUGGGAUAACUACGGGAAACCGUAGAUAAUACCGGAUAAUAUUUUGAACCGCAUGGUUCAAAAGUGAAAGACGGUCUUGCCGUCACUUAUAGAUGGAUCCGCGCUGCAUUAGCUAGUUGGUAAGGUAACGGCUUACCAAGGCAACGAUGCAUAGCCGACCUGAGAGGGUGAUCGGCCACACUGGAACUGAGACACGGUCCAGACUCCUACGGGAGGCAGCAGUAGGGAAUCUUCCGCAAUGGGCGAAAGCCUGACGGAGCAACGCCGCGUGAGUGAUGAAGGUCUUCGGAUCGUAAAACUCUGUUAUUAGGGAAGAACAUAUGUGUAAGUAACUGUGCACAUCUUGACGGUACCUAAUCAGAAAGCCACGGCUAACUACGUG